RNAcentral lists this ribosomal RNA (497 nucleotides) under uncultured bacterium. RNAcentral describes it as "partial 16S ribosomal RNA". It matches the Rfam family "Bacterial small subunit ribosomal RNA", at positions 28 to 507 of the family's 1533-position model. The record is from RNAcentral.
GAUGAACGCUGGCGGCGUGCCUAAUACAUGCAAGUCGAGCGAACAGAUAUGGAGCUUGCUCCUUUGACGUUAGCGGCGGACGGGUGAGUAACACGUGGGUAACCUACCUAUAAGACUGGGAUAACUUCGGGAAACCGGAGCUAAUACCGGAUAACAUUUGGAACCGCAUGGUUCUAAAGUGAAAGAUGGUUUUGCUAUCACUUAUAGAUGGACCCGCGCCGUAUUAGCUAGUUGGUAAGGUAACGGCUUACCAAGGCAACGAUACGUAGCCGACCUGAGAGGGUGAUCGGCCACACUGGAACUGAGACACGGUCCAGACUCCUACGGGAGGCAGCAGUAGGGAAUCUUCCGCAAUGGGCGAAAGCCUGACGGAGCAACGCCGCGUGAGUGAUGAAGGGUUUCGGCUCGUAAAACUCUGUUAUUAGGGAAGAACAAACGUGUAAGUAACUGUGCACGUCUUGACGGUACCUAAUCAGAAAGCCACGGCUAACUACGUG